AACUUAGGAUAAUAAAAACCAAGAACCUUCAAAGUUCAAAAUAAGGGUGUAAACCCCUUAGUUUUUGCAAGA
This 72-nucleotide transfer RNA is filed under the name Anolis cristatellus. RNAcentral's name for it is "tRNA-Trp". It matches the Rfam family "tRNA". Rfam says of the family: Transfer RNA (tRNA) molecules are approximately 80 nucleotides in length. Their secondary structure includes four short double-helical elements and three loops (D, anti-codon, and T loops). The record is from RNAcentral. Lineage: Eukaryota; Metazoa; Chordata; Lepidosauria; Squamata; Anolidae.